This 253-nucleotide ribosomal RNA is filed under the name uncultured bacterium. RNAcentral describes it as "partial 16S ribosomal RNA". It matches the Rfam family "Bacterial small subunit ribosomal RNA", at positions 524 to 776 of the family's 1533-position model. The record is from RNAcentral.
UACAGAGGGUGCAAACGUUGUUCGGAAUUACUGGGCAUAAAGAGCACGUAGGUGGUUCGUUAAGUCACGUGUGAAAUCCCUCAGCUUAACUGGGGAACUGCGUGUGAUACUGGAUGGCUUGGAUUUGGGAGAGGGAUGCGGAAUUCCAGGUGUAGCGGUGAAAUGCGUAGAUAUCUGGAGGAACACCGGUGGCGAAGGCGGCAUCCUGGACCAAUAUUGACGCUGAGGAGCGAAAGCAAGGGGAGCAAACGGG